CUUACGAGUUUUUCCGUUGGUGCGUGGUGCUUUGCUUUGCUUUGUGGAAUCUAUUUUUCCUACGAAGUGAAAAAAGUGAUAAGAAGGAAUUCCUCUUCCAAAUAUUCGUCCGGGAUUUGCUGCAAGAGUUUCGCCAGGGAUUUGCUCCAGGAAUCCCUUCGGAUUCUGAAGUCGAACUUUUCUAUCAUGGAUUGGUAUGAUGAAAUAGUUGACAGUGCAAUAGCAUUCUCUCCUUUCCUAAUGGACAAUGAAGACGAUGACGUGAUGAUCAAUUUACUGAUGGAAAAUUCAGAAAACUCACCUGUACGGCGCGGGUCACGGCCAGGAAGGCGUCCAAACAUCGAUCGUAACUUUCAAUUAGGACAUCGCCUGUUAUUUGAUGACUACUUUCGCGAAAAUCUAACGUACGAUGAGAAACACUUUAUUCGACGAUUCCGCAUGACGAAAGUUAUGUUUUUAAAAAUC
RNAcentral lists this long non-coding RNA (465 nucleotides) under Aedes aegypti (yellow fever mosquito). RNAcentral describes it as "lncRNA AAEL027775". Lineage: Eukaryota; Metazoa; Arthropoda; Insecta; Diptera; Culicidae. The record is from RNAcentral.